RNAcentral lists this long non-coding RNA (292 nucleotides) under Elaeis guineensis (African oil palm). Its description in RNAcentral is "long non-coding RNA (EGUI_LNC021103)". Lineage: Eukaryota; Viridiplantae; Streptophyta; Magnoliopsida; Arecales; Arecaceae. The record is from RNAcentral.
CGAGAUCAUGACAUGGCACAUCCAAGGGCAAAGAGAGGAAUUCCUUAGAUUUAAUUUUAGUAGUCAAUUUUCUGUAAUUUUAUUUUAUUUCUAAUUAUUUUUAGUUUUUACUGUGUUUAUCAAAGGCUGAGAAUAUAAGAUCUCAGGCUUUAUUAUAUAGUUUAAAAAGCCACUGCAGCAGUGCUGUUCAUGGUACUGUUCACGCUGCAAUAAUCAUGCCUUAUUAGGGACAAUUUUAGGAUUUUAAAAGAGAGUUGAAUUAUGGUUUCUGUUUUAUUAAAAAAGGGACCCC